UGGGGAAUAUUGCACAAUGGGGGGAACCCUGAUGCAGCCAUGCGCGUGAAUGAAGAAGGCCUUCGGGUUGUAAAGUUCUUUCGGUGACGAGGAAGGUUGAUAGGUUAAUAGCCUAUCAAAUUGACGUUAAUCACAGAAGAAGCACCGGCUAACUCCGUGCCAGCAGCCGCGGUAAUACGGGGGGUGCGAGCGUUAAUCGGAAUAACUGGGCGUAAAGGUCACGCAGGCGGUGACUUAAGUGAGAUGUGAAAGCCCCGAGCUUAACUUGGGAAUUGCAUUUCAUACUGGGUCGCUAGAGUACUUUAGGGAGGGGUAGAAUUCCACGUGUAGCGGUGAAAUGCGUAGAGAUGUGGAGGAAUACCGAAGGCGAGGGCAGCCCCUUGGGAAUGUACUGACGCUCAUGUGCGANAGCGUGGGGGAGCAAACAGGAUUAGAUACCCUGGUAGUCCACGCUGUAAACGAUGUCGAUUUGGGGAUUGGGCUUUGAGCUUGGUGCCCGUAGCUAACGUGAUAAAUCGACCGCCUGGGGAGUACGGCCGCANGUUA
RNAcentral lists this ribosomal RNA (546 nucleotides) under uncultured bacterium. Its description in RNAcentral is "bacterial SSU rRNA". It matches the Rfam family "Bacterial small subunit ribosomal RNA", at positions 355 to 896 of the family's 1533-position model. The record is from RNAcentral.